This 202-nucleotide microRNA precursor is filed under the name Oryza rufipogon (brownbeard rice). Its description in RNAcentral is "MIR812 microRNA precursor family". It matches the Rfam family "MIR812 microRNA precursor family". Lineage: Eukaryota; Viridiplantae; Streptophyta; Magnoliopsida; Poales; Poaceae. The record is from Rfam by way of RNAcentral.
UAUAAGAGAUUUUGAGUUUUUACAUGCAACGUUUGAACACUCGUCUUAUUUAAAAUUUUUGAAAUUAUUAUUUAUUUUAUUUGUGACUUACUUUAUUAUCUACAGUACUUUAAGACAACUUUUCAUUUUUUAUAUUUGUAAAAAAAAAUUUGAAUAAGACGAGUGGUCAAAUGUUGCAAGCAAAAACUCAAAAUCCCUUAUA